RNAcentral lists this long non-coding RNA (665 nucleotides) under Felis catus (domestic cat). RNAcentral describes it as "lncRNA (ENSFCAG00000052105.1)". The record is from RNAcentral. Lineage: Eukaryota; Metazoa; Chordata; Mammalia; Carnivora; Felidae.
CGGGGCUGAAAGGUAUUAGUUAUGAGAACAGAGGGGAGAAUUAUAACCAAGGAGCCGAGAGGCCAGAAACAGGGCUGACCCAGUGCUGGGUGCCUGGCAAGGGACAAAGGCACUCAGGCGCCUUCCAACAAAUUUGGGGUGUGUGUGUGUGUGCGUGUGUGUGUGUGUGUGUGUGCCUGCGUGCGUGUCUGUGUGACACGCAGGUCCUCUCAAGCAUGGGACCCAGGGUGGGGGCCUUUUGCCUGCAUCCCGGGCUGGCGCUGGUGGUAAUGAGGCCAUGUGUGUUCUAGUCUUUACAUUUCACCUCACUACAACCCUGUGAAGUGAGUAUUAUUGUUUCUGUUUUACAGAUGAUGAAAUUUAGGCUCAGCGCCCUGUCAAGGAAGCGACCAGCCAAGGCCACCUGAGGACCCAAUUCACAGGAAGCCCGCAAGCCCGGAAGUCCCAUGCUGUUGCUCCAUGCUGCCGCCCAGUGGCUGCACGAACUACCCGGAACUACCAUCCAGGGGCCGGGCUGCCAGACGGGUCCAAGUGGACAUUCCUGUCAAGCUUUCUAACCUCAGAAGCGGCAGAAACAACAGACUUUGGAUCAAGACAGUGGAACCCUGGGGGAGAAGACACAGCCCCUGUCUUCCAGAAGCUUCUAAUCUGAGACAAGUGCCUAU